Arachis ipaensis is the source of this 804-nucleotide non-coding RNA. The record is from RefSeq and is a predicted model, not a curated record. Lineage: Eukaryota; Viridiplantae; Streptophyta; Magnoliopsida; Fabales; Fabaceae.
GGACGACAUUGCAUGAUUUGGUUCUAUGAUUAUUUGCAUUCACACGACUUAUAGUUUCUUUGAGAUUUUAUCAUUUCGUAUCUCCAAGAUCUUUUGUUAUCUAGCUUGAUGUUUUAAGUGUUACAGCUCAACAAAAAUCUAUCUUGUCUUCUUCGAAACCUUUAAAGGAAGGAUUUGGAGCUCAUGGGAAGCCACAUGCUGAAGGUGAAUGGCAUGAUUCUAACGCUACAUGUGGGGUUAAUGCCGCUCAAGGUAGUGGCAAUGUUAGACGUGUUACCAGGUAUCAUAACAUGAAAGUCUGUCAGCAGAAGCAGCCAGCUUCUGGAAUUACUCUAAAACAUCCAGAGGAACUGAACAGUCCACUAACACCAGCUCAGUUGCAAUCUCUGGAAAAAGUAACUACAAAAAAAGUAAAUACACCAUCUAAACAUCUUGAUGAAAGCUCUACAUCUAGAGUUUCUAGAACUUUAUUUGAAAAUAAAGAAGGUUGUUCUAGGAGAAAGAAAGUUACAAGUGAAAAAAUUCAGAUCACGUGUGAAAGAAAAAGGACUAGAUCUGCCACUGCAACCAAAUAACCACGAAAAAGGGGUUUAAGCCCCUCGAUCAUUGGUGAGUAAGAGUAGAUAUCCCCACCGUCUACUCUAUCAAGUUUCAAAAAGUCCAGAUCAGGAUGGUUGCUUCCACCACCCUUAGAGUUUUGGCGUAACCAGAUACCGAUUUACAAUGCGGACCAUGAGGUUACAGAAAUUUAGGGAGGUGCAUAUGUGGUUCAAUAGAUAAAGGUUCUUCAGCAUUAUUGAGCAU